Molecule: unclassified non-coding RNA, 504 nt
Filed under: uncultured Glomus
Lineage: Eukaryota; Fungi; Glomeromycota; Glomeromycetes; Glomerales; Glomeraceae
Description: SSU rRNA
Rfam family: Eukaryotic small subunit ribosomal RNA
Source: RNAcentral
AGCAGCCGCGGUAAUUCCAGCUCCAAUAGCGUAUAUUAAAGUUGCUGCAGUUAAAAGCUCGUAGUUGAAUUUCGGGACCAUCAUGUUGGUCGUGCCUCGGUACGUACUGGCAUUGUUGGUUUCUCCCUUCUGACGAACCAUGAUGUCAUUUAUUUGGUGUCGUGGGAAAUCAGGACUGUUUACUUUGAAAAAAUUAGAGUGUUUAAAGCAGGCUCACGCUUGAAUACAUUAGCAUGGAAUAAUGAAAUAGGACGUUUGAUUCUAUUUUGUUGGUUUCUAGGAUCGACGUAAUGAUUAAUAGGGAUAGUUGGGGGCAUUAGUAUUCAAUUGUCAGAGGUGAAAUUCUUGGAUUUAUUGAAGACUAACUACUGCGAAAGCAUUUGCCAAGGAUGUUUUCAUUAAUCAAGAACGAAAGUUAGGGAUCGAAGACGAUCAGAUACCGUCGUAGUCUUAACCAUAAACUAUGCCGACUAGGGAUCGGAUGAUGUUUAAUUUUUUAAUGUA